GACGAACCGUACGAACGUUAUUCGGAAUCACUGGGCUUAAAGGGUGCGUAGGCUGUGCGGAAAGUUGGGUGUGAAAUCCCUCGGCUCAACCGAGGAACUGCGCCCAAAACUACCGUGCUCGAGGGAGACAGAGGUGAGCGGAACUUACGGUGGAGCGGUGAAAUGCGUUGAUAUCGUAAGGAACACCUGUGGCGAAAGCGGCUCACUGGGUCUCUUCUGACGCUGAGGCACGAAAGCUAGGGGAGCGAACGGGAUUAGAUACCCCGGUAGUCCUAGCCGUAAACGAUGAGCACUGGGUUGGAGGGUCCUCCAUAGCCUUCCAGCCGCAGCGAAAGUGUUGAGUGCUCCGCCUGGGGAGUAUGGUCGCAAGGCUGAAACUCAAAG
This 384-nucleotide ribosomal RNA is filed under the name uncultured bacterium. RNAcentral describes it as "bacterial SSU rRNA". It matches the Rfam family "Bacterial small subunit ribosomal RNA", at positions 524 to 906 of the family's 1533-position model. The record is from RNAcentral.